This 465-nucleotide ribosomal RNA is filed under the name Vreelandella stevensii. Its description in RNAcentral is "partial 16S ribosomal RNA". It matches the Rfam family "Bacterial small subunit ribosomal RNA", at positions 338 to 795 of the family's 1533-position model. The record is from RNAcentral. Lineage: Bacteria; Pseudomonadati; Pseudomonadota; Gammaproteobacteria; Oceanospirillales; Halomonadaceae.
CCUACGGGGGGCUGCAGUGGGGAAUAUUGGACAAUGGGGGGAACCCUGAUCCAGCCAUGCCGCGUGUGUGAAGAAGGCCCUCGGGUUGUAAAGCACUUUCAGUGAGGAAGAACGCCUGGUGGUUAAUACCCAUCAGGAAAGACAUCACUCACAGAAGAAGCACCGGCUAACUCCGUGCCAGCAGCCGAGGUAAUACGGAGGGUGCGAGCGUUAAUCGGAAUUACUGGGCGUAAAGCGCGCGUAGGUGGCUUGAUAAGCCGGUUGUGAAAGCCCCGGGCUCAACCUGGGAACGGCAUCCGGAACUGUCAAGCUAGAGUGCAGGAGAGGAAGGUAGAAUUCCCGGUGUAGCGGUGAAAUGCGUAGAGAUCGGGAGGAAUACCAGUGGCGAAGGCGGCCUUCUGGACUGACACUGACACUGAGGUGCGAAAGCGUGGGUAGCAAACAGGAUUAGAUACCCUGGUAGUC